AUCCUUCUAAGGUCAAACGGGAGAUGAUGAUUGGUUGAUCAUGUCUUAGUACAUGAGACGUGUGACCAUUUUAUCCUUGUUACAUACCAUCACGUUGACCAUCUGAUC
Patiria miniata (bat star) is the source of this 108-nucleotide small nucleolar RNA. RefSeq annotates it as small nucleolar RNA U13. The transcript has a single exon. The record is from RefSeq and is a predicted model, not a curated record. Lineage: Eukaryota; Metazoa; Echinodermata; Asteroidea; Valvatida; Asterinidae.